UAAACUAGAAUGUAGGGACAACAAACACCAGGUGGGAUUGUGCAGGAACAUAGUGACCCACAACCACCUGGGUUCUGGAUCCUAGAAGGCAGACCCUGUGCCAACCUGACAGACCACAAAUACCUCUUUCCUGAAAAACAGUCAACUGCGAGCUUGGAGUUAACUCUGACAGACAGUGACCUUUCAAUGUUGAAACUGCAAUAUGGCCGGCGCCGUGGCUCACUAGGCUAAUCCUCUGACUGCAGCGUCGGCACCCCAGGUUCUAGUCCCGGUCUGGGCGCUGGAUUCUGUUCCGGUUGCCUCUCUUCCAAGCCAGCUCUCUUCUGUGGCCCGGGAAGUCAGUGGAGGAUGGUCCAAGUCCUUGGGCCCUGCAUACGCAUGGGAGACCAGGAAGAAGCACCUGGCUCCUGGCUUCAGAUGGGCACCACACGCCGGCCAUAGCCGCCAUUUAGGGGGGUGAACCAACGGAAGGAAGACCUUUCUCUCUGUGUCUCCCUCACUGUCUAACUCUGCCUGUCAAAAAAACCCCUGCAAUAUACAUGUUCUCAUUUUCAUUCUGAAAUGAAAUUGUGGAAAAAUAAUUUUGGCUAAAAGGCAACAUCCAGACCAUCCUGUGCCCUACUUUGGUUAACCAUGUCUUUCUUGGUCUUUGGCCUGGGCUGACCUUGAGUAACUAUUGUGUUGGAUAUUUUUGAUGGGUUAUUUAAUUCUAUGUGUAUAUUUUAAAUUCCAGAGAUUAUAUUACUGUCUAGCUUGUUGUCUAACAUCAGUGUCAUGUUUAUAUCAUGAUUAAUAAUUGCUCACUUAAUAUCUAUUUGGAUUCUGAAAAUGCUUCUUCAGUUACUAAUGAAAAUUCCUCACCUACUCUAACCCUAUGCUCUCGCUAAAGCUUAGAGAAGGAAAGGGCUGACUCCGUCUUUUCAGAUGUGUCACAGUUCCAGGACUCUCCCAAAGGGUCUGUCCAGUUGGAAAGCCCCAGCAAACUCGAAGCUGAUAAAAACGCCACCCUGUUCCCCAGCAGAGAAUCCAGAGAAUCUGAGGGGCUGCUGUCUAUGGAAGCGUUGCCUCCUUGGAGCAAAAGAACAAAGUUGUCGUUCACAGAACCCCCUGUUCCUAGCAAAGGAGACUCAAAGGUUGAUAUUUCAGAAGAGGAAUUAGGAAAGAAGGCUGAAAAUGAAAUUGACCAAGCAGCAAAAGAAUCUCAAGGUAAAAAGAUUUUCUGUUGUAUUAGAUGAAAUGUGAAUAAUUAUGCGUUCCCUCUGUAUAAUUAUAAACAAAUUAAGGGAGAGCAUUAUUGUGUAUAUAAGUAACUUCUUAGGUGGUCAUCAGAGAAGAUAGUAUACUGACAAUUACAUAAAAUUAAUUUGGUGAGUUCUCACUGUUAUUCAGAGAGUCUGCUUAAAUUUUAUCUGUGUCAAAGAGAAAUGAUAACUCAAUGAAAUAAUAGUAUUUGGCAUAGUAAAUUCUUAAUAUUAUACCAAAAAUGCAUCUGGGCAUGUCAGGAAAAAGAUUAUUUAUAUGAAUAAUUUUUUCUAGAUUCUUUAAGUGUUAUAUGUUUAAAAGCAAAAAAAUUUAUUAUUUCUAUGAUAAAUGAUUUUAAUAUCAAACCUGUAUUUUAUUGGACUAUAUGAAUGUUCAAGAUGAAAUGUAAUACUUGUGGUGUAGGGUCAGGAGCAUCACUGUUCUAUCGUUCUUUGAAAUGGGAAUGCUUCUCUCAUGUUACUUGUGAUGAUUGGCUACCUGAGAUAAAUAUUUCUUGUUAUGAUCAGAAUAUAUUUUUUAUUUGACAGGUAGAGUUAUAGACAUUGAGAGAGAGAGAGAGAGAGAGAGAGAGAGAGAGACAGGUCUUCCUUCCGUG
RNAcentral lists this long non-coding RNA (1858 nucleotides) under Oryctolagus cuniculus (rabbit). RNAcentral's name for it is "lncRNA (ENSOCUG00000037039.1)". Lineage: Eukaryota; Metazoa; Chordata; Mammalia; Lagomorpha; Leporidae. The record is from RNAcentral.